Mustela erminea (ermine) is the source of this 708-nucleotide long non-coding RNA. RefSeq lists it as uncharacterized. The record is from RefSeq and is a predicted model, not a curated record. The transcript has 3 exons. NCBI's taxonomy places the organism in Eukaryota, Metazoa, Chordata, Mammalia, Carnivora, Mustelidae.
CACCUGUUGGGGAAGAUAGAGUGAGUCCUUUCACGGGUCUCCAGGCUCGGAGGGGAUGGAAGGCUGGGCGGUCCAGGGGCCGAGAGGGACCCAGUCCAGGUCUCAGUCCCAGCCAGCCCCAGCUCAGCCCAGAAUCUAACCCAUCAUGGCCCAGGUGCCCUUGGAUCCAGACAACUCAAAACCUUUUACAGUCCAGGGUCCCAGGCCUUCAGCCAAAGGACAUGUUGCCAGGGUUUGGAGAGGUCAAGGGACGGUUCUGAUCCUGGAUUUUGGGGCUGGGGAAGUGCGGCAGCAGCGAGAGGCCAAUCAAUCCCCACUUUACAGCUGACAGAAUGGUGCUAAUAACUUAUCGAUCUCGGCCACCUCGGCAGCCCAAGCCCAGGCCUUGCCCCGAGAGGGACGAGGACCUUACUGCUUGGCGGAAGGGCUCCUACCUCAGUGACCUGGCAGGACAGGGAGCCACGCACCCAGCAGAAGGGCCCCUUGAGGAAGCCACAGCUGGCCCCCAACAGCUUGGGGGCAUCGGGGCCCAGCUGGAAAGGGGUGGCAGUGGCCUUGACCCCUUCAAGCCCACCCCAGAAGUAGCCACGGUGGGACCACUGCCUUGGCCUCCUGUCUGCCUGGCUGGCCUGGAUUAGCACAAUUACCAUCCCAUGGAGCCCCAGGGGACAGCCGGCCUCCCUGGCUGCUGGCCAAGGCUGCUGGGGG